RNAcentral lists this ribosomal RNA (496 nucleotides) under uncultured bacterium. RNAcentral describes it as "partial 16S ribosomal RNA". It matches the Rfam family "Bacterial small subunit ribosomal RNA", at positions 29 to 507 of the family's 1533-position model. The record is from RNAcentral.
AUGAACGCUGGCGGCGUGCCUAAUACAUGCAAGUCGAGCGAACAGAUGAGGAGCUUGCUCCUCUGACGUUAGCGGCGGACGGGUGAGUAACACGUGAAUAACCUACCUAUAAGACUGGGAUAACUUCGGGAAACCGGAGCUAAUACCGGAUAAUAUAUUGAACCGCAUGGUUCCAUAGUGAAAGACGGUUUUGCUGUCACUUAUAGAUGGAUCCGCGCCGCAUUAGCUAGUUGGUAAGGUAACGGCUUACCAAGGCAACGAUGCGUAGCCGACCUGAGAGGGUGAUCGGCCACACUGGAACUGAAACACGGUCCAGACUCCUACGGGAGGCAGCAAUAGGGAAUCUUCCGCAAUGGGCGAAAGCCUGACGGAGCAACGCCGCGUGAGUGAUGAAGGUCUUCGGAUCGUAAAACUCUGUUAUUAGGGAAGAACAAAUGUGUAAGUAACUAUGCACGUCUUGACGGUACCUAAUCAGAAAGCCACGGCUAACUACGUG